CCGUGUGACCUGCAGCAUGACACCAGAGGAAAAAAACCCUAACAAAACAUCAACAAUGAAGACAAAAACAGAACAAGAUCGACCAAUAACAAAUGCUGGUGAGGCUGUGGGAAAAAAGGUGCAACAGUUUUCAAGUUGACAUAAAAUUUGAGAAGAAUAAUGACCAUUGUUAAUUUCCUAUUCUGUAUCAUUUUUAUUGUUUUUUUUCUUUUCUCUUUUUAAAAUAAAAAAAAAUGAGCAGAAAAUGCAAAGAAUUCCCAUCUACCCCAUCACCCAUAAGCACAAACCUCCCCCACUCACUGCCGACAUCCCCUUCAGAGUGUACUGUGCAUUUGUUACAAUGACUCUGUGCUGAUGCAUAUUAAAGUCCAU
This 372-nucleotide long non-coding RNA is filed under the name Chinchilla lanigera (long-tailed chinchilla). RNAcentral describes it as "lncRNA (ENSCLAG00000024243.1)". Lineage: Eukaryota; Metazoa; Chordata; Mammalia; Rodentia; Chinchillidae. The record is from RNAcentral.